Molecule: long non-coding RNA, 660 nt
Filed under: Sorghum bicolor (sorghum)
Lineage: Eukaryota; Viridiplantae; Streptophyta; Magnoliopsida; Poales; Poaceae
Description: long non-coding RNA (SBIC_LNC000644)
Source: RNAcentral
UACCAUGCUCAUAAAUUCUAAGGUAAGAAGCUUACUACUAGGGCAUUCAGAGAAAUCCCAAAACUCACCCAAUCCUAUUGCACCAAAAACUUCAAAGAACUCCUCAUCCAUACCUGUGUAGUGGAGGAAUUGAGGGUCAAAGUGGUGUGUUUGAAUUCGUGGUGGCGGAUUUUGUUAAGGGUGACCAUCUCCUCAGUAGUGAGCCAUAUUCCGGUUUCCUGGUCUUGUAUCUUUAGGGGUUGUGCUUCUUUAUCUGGUUCUUGUUCAUCUUGCUGCAUGUCCUCCUCGUAUAUGUGUUCCUCUGUGUCAUGGACGGAUUGUUCGCCUCUAGAGCUGAUGGAUUAGCGUGAAGUCCUUGAUGAGCUUCCUCUAAGGGCUAAGCAUGCCUUUAUUGCCACGACUUUGAAUGGGUUCUUCAUGCCUACUAGGGAAGAAAGACAUACACUAUUUGGACAAGAGAGGUUACUGUUAAGUGAUUUACUCACCGGUGUUUACCACUUCUUGACUCCUCUAGCAAUGAAUGUAUCACUUUGAGAAAGAGAUGGGGAGGAUUUCGAUGUUUUUGCUGGUGGUCUUGAGUGUAGCAAAGUGUGUGUGUGCAUGGGAAUAAAAGGAGUGAAGAGCAUGCACAAGGAAGGGAUCGGCCGAUCCCUGCACUCC